Molecule: small RNA, 981 nt
Filed under: Histoplasma capsulatum var. duboisii H88
Lineage: Eukaryota; Fungi; Ascomycota; Eurotiomycetes; Onygenales; Ajellomycetaceae
Description: Histoplasma capsulatum H88 hypothetical RNA
Source: RNAcentral
CCCCUUUGUAUGACUUCUGGCUCAUAUUUUUUUUUUGAAUUGUCCGUCUGUUUUUGUUUGUUUUGGUUUUGCGCACUUGUUCAUAUAUUUUUUUCCUUCCCUAUUUACCAAAAAACCUCCUAUCUGACUUGAGAUAUCCCAUCCCGACCACUGCUUUCAGAGUACGUUACGACGAUGGUCCUUGUGGCAUAGAGACGCCCAUAGCCACACUUAUUUACACAAGAGAGAUAAACGUGUUUCCUCCUCAUCUCCAGCCAGAUUUCUGAAAGACUGGCUUUCGGUGUUGCUUUUUGGAAGACGAAUUGAUUAUGAAGCCAACCGAAAUGGAACCGUCCCGAGAUCGAGAGCUGGUAUUAAAGGACAGGCACUCAUUUUCAGAAAUGUCCAACAGGCCCGCUAUCCCAAUGUGGGAUAGUGCAGACCCAGAGCGAGCUCCACCUCCACUCCCCUUAAACCCCGGUUCGGGUAGUCCCACAACCCGACCAAAUGUUUCCGCAUCUAUACAGGCUGUCGCCGCUGCAUUAUCAGAGAAAAGCAAUGAAAAUGUUCCAAGCUCUUACACGGUCAAUCCUAUGGUACUCAAGUCAUCGCCAGAAAAAUCUCUGGUCAAAGGACAAUUCCAUAAGCGCAUACAAUCACUUCAGCCGGCAAUAAACAGCCGAGAGCUCACACCUUACAUAGAGCGACGCUCUCCCGAGAGAAAUUCCAGGUCAAGCCCAUUUGAUGCUGAUGGGGGACGAACGCGAGAGAAAAGCCCAUCUCGCGUAAAGACCCCUACUUCCGCUGGAAAAGAUCCUUCCAAUUUCCGUGCGUCGAGCCGCUAUCUGUCUAAGCCAAUCCUUGGGGAGAACACUCCUCCGUCUGCUACAAUGCUUGCUUUGCAGAACAUGCAGCUCCCAAUCGAGAUAGAUUCCCCUACCAAGGGCGCCAGCAACUACACUCCGUCACCACAGCCUCAAGAUUUUAGUUCACUGUCUAGCC